AGUGAACGCUGGCGGUAGGCCUAACACAUGCAAGUCGAACGGCAGCACAGUAAGAGCUUGCUCUUACGGGUGGCGAGUGGCGGACGGGUGAGGAAUACAUCGGAAUCUACUUUUUCGUGGGGGAUAACGUAGGGAAACUUACGCUAAUACCUCAUACGACCUACGGGUGAAAGCAGGGGAUCUUCGGACCUUGCGCGAUUGAAUGAGCCGAUGUCGGAUUAGCUAGUUGGCGGGGUAAAGGCCCACCAAGGCGACGAUCCGUAGCUGGUCUGAGAGGAUGAUCAGCCACACUGGAACUGAGACACGGUCCAGACUCCUACGGGAGGCAGCAGUGGGGAAUAUUGGACAAUGGGCACAAGCCUGAUCCAGCCAUACCGCGUGGGUGAAGAAGGCCUUCGGGUUGUAAAGCCCUUUUGUUGGGAAAGAAAAGCAGCAGGUUAAUACCCCGCUGUUCUGACGGUACCCAAAGAAUAAGCACCGGCUAACUUCGUG
Molecule: ribosomal RNA, 492 nt
Filed under: uncultured bacterium
Lineage: Bacteria
Description: partial 16S ribosomal RNA
Rfam family: Bacterial small subunit ribosomal RNA
Source: RNAcentral